UCCAGUUUGUCACUGGCAGUCUUCUUAGAGUGCCCACCUUUACGUGCUGGUAACUAAGAACAAGGGUUGCGCUCGUUACGGGACUUAACCCAACAUCUCACGACACGAGCUGACGACAGCCAUGCAGCACCUGUCACCUGGUUCCCGAAGGCACUCUCCCCAUGACGGGAGAUUCCAAGGAUGUCAAGGAUAGGUAAGGUUCUUCGCGUUGCAUCGAAUUAAACCACAUGCUCCACCGCUUGUGCAGGCCCCCGUCAAUUCCUUUGAGUUUUAACCUUGCGGCCGUACUCCCCAGGCGGAGAACUUAUCGCGUUAGCUGCGGCACUAGAGGAUAAAUCCCCCAACGCCUAGUUCUCAUCGUUUACGGCGUGGACUAC
Molecule: unclassified non-coding RNA, 377 nt
Filed under: uncultured Gammaproteobacteria bacterium
Lineage: Bacteria; Pseudomonadati; Pseudomonadota; Gammaproteobacteria
Description: contains 16S-23S intergenic spacer region
Source: RNAcentral